ACCACCUGUGCACUUUUUGUAGACGUUGGAAAAAACAAUACCUCUCGGUUUGAGGACUGUCGUGCGCAAGCCGGCUUUCCUUGCAUUUUCCAGUCUAUGUUUUUAUAAUACACACCUAUAGUAUGUUUCAGAAUGUCAUUUAACGGGCUUAAUUGCCUUUUAAUCCUAUACAACUUUCAACAACGGAUCUCUUGGCUCUCGCAUCGAUGAAGAACGCAGCGAAAUGCGAUAAGUAAUGUGAAUUGCAGAAUUCAGUGAAUCAUCGAAUCUUUGAACGCACCUUGCGCUCCUUGGUAUUCCGAGGAGCAUGCCUGUUUGAGUGUCAUGAAAUUCUCAACCUUUUCAAUCUUUUAUUGGUUGAAUUAGGCUUGGAUAUGGGAGUCUGUUGCUGGCUUCUAUUAGAAAAAGGAUCAGCUCUCCUUAAAUUUAUUAGCGGGACCUUUGUUGCCCCCCUCAGCUGUUAGUGUGAUAAUUAUCUACGCUAUUUG
This 488-nucleotide unclassified non-coding RNA is filed under the name uncultured fungus. RNAcentral's name for it is "partial contains ITS1, 5.8S rRNA and ITS2". The stretch from base 172 to 325 matches the Rfam family "5.8S ribosomal RNA". The record is from RNAcentral. Lineage: Eukaryota; Fungi.